Protopterus annectens (West African lungfish) is the source of this 459-nucleotide long non-coding RNA. RefSeq lists it as uncharacterized. The transcript is spliced from 4 exons. Lineage: Eukaryota; Metazoa; Chordata; Ceratodontiformes; Protopteridae. The record is from RefSeq and is a predicted model, not a curated record.
CUGACCAAGAACCGACUCCAAAGAAUUUUUAACCUGCAACUAUAACACCUUCUGUUCCUUGAGUCCUUCUACUACAAGCUUCCAAGAAACUUGGGCCCCUGCCCACCCUGCACUAACCUGCUGAAACAUACCCUCCUGAACUCUCUGACCAAGAACCGACUCCAAAGAAUUUUUAACCUGCAACUAUAACACCUUCUGUUCCUUGAGUCCUUCUACUACAAGCUUCCAAGAAACUUGGGCCCCUGCCCACCCUGCACUAACCUGCUGAAACAUACCCUCCUGAACUCUCUGACCAAGAACCGACUCCAAAGAAUUUUUAACCUGCAACUAUAACACCUUCUGUUCCUUGAGUCCUUCUACUACAAGCUUCCAAGAAACUUGGGCCCCUGCCCACCCUGCACUAACCUGCUGAAACAUACCCUCCUGAACUCUCUGACCAAGAACCGACUCCAAAGAAUU